CGAUAGUGAAACAGUACCGUGAGGGAAAGGUGAAAAGAACCCCGGGAGGGGAGUGAAAUAGAACAUGAAAUCGUGAGUUUACAAGCAGUAGGAGAGCGACUUAACGCUCAACUUCGUGCCUGUUGAAGAAUGAGCUGGCGACUUGUAGGUUGUGGCAAGGUUAAGAUAAGAGAAUAUCGGAGCCAUAGUGAAAGCGAGCCUGAAAAGGGCUUUAAGUCAUAAUUUACAGACCCGAACCCGGAUGAUCUAACCAUGGCCAGUGUGAAGCUUAGGUAACACUAAGUGGAGGUACCAACCGACUGUUGUUGAAAAAUCAGCGGAUGAGUUGUGGUUAGGGGUGAAAUUCCAAUCGAAUCCGGAGCUAGCUGGAUCUCCCCGAAAUGCGUUGAGGCGCAGCGGUUAAUAUUUCUUCUUAGGGGUAAAGCUACUGUUUUGGUGCGGGCUGCGAGAGUGGUACCAAAUCAAGGCAAACUCU
This 475-nucleotide ribosomal RNA is filed under the name Thalassiosira minuscula. RNAcentral describes it as "partial Bacterial large subunit ribosomal RNA". It matches the Rfam family "Bacterial large subunit ribosomal RNA", at positions 485 to 957 of the family's 2925-position model. The record is from RNAcentral. Lineage: Eukaryota; Bacillariophyta; Thalassiosirophyceae; Thalassiosirales; Thalassiosiraceae.